GAUGAACGCUGGCGGAGUGCCUAACACAUGCAAGUCGAGCGGCAGCGCGAGUAGUUUACUACUUGGCGGCGAGCGGCGGACGGCUGAGUAACGCGUGGGAACAUGCCCCAAAGUGAGGAAUAACUGCCCGAAAGGGUAGCUAAUGCCGCAUAUGAUCUUCGGAUUAAAGGAUUUAUCCGCUUUGGGAGUGGCCUGCGUACGAUUAGAUAGUUGGUGAGGUAAAGGCUCACCAAGUCGACGAUCGUUAACUGGUUUGAGAGGAUGAUCAGUCAGACUGGAACUGAGACACGGUCCAGACUCCUACGGGAGGCAGCAGUGAGGAAUCUUCCACAAUGGGCGAAAGCCUGAUGGAGCAACGCCGCGUGCAGGAUGAAGGCCUUCGGGUUGUAAACUGCUUUUAUGAGUGAAGAAUAUGACGGUAACUCAUGAAUAAGGGUCGGCUAACUACGUG
RNAcentral lists this ribosomal RNA (451 nucleotides) under uncultured bacterium. Its description in RNAcentral is "partial 16S ribosomal RNA". It matches the Rfam family "Bacterial small subunit ribosomal RNA", at positions 28 to 507 of the family's 1533-position model. The record is from RNAcentral.